This 1952-nucleotide long non-coding RNA is filed under the name Gallus gallus (chicken). RNAcentral's name for it is "long non-coding RNA NONGGAT003275". The record is from RNAcentral. Lineage: Eukaryota; Metazoa; Chordata; Aves; Galliformes; Phasianidae.
GGUGGUGUUAAUAAUAAACUCUCAGGCCUGGUCCGUGCCACUGAGGCGAACUGCUCUUUGAAUUGCUGCUCACAGUGGUGUAGCACUGACUGUGGGAUGUUGGCAGCUCGUUCCCUGCAUAUGCAGGACUCAGCCAUAUGCCACCGACACCAUAUUCUUGUACCACCCCUCCCCAGUAGGCUGGAGCACUGUAAUUACACCGCUUCUGGUCAAGUUGGGCAACUUUUCAAGGAAAGAGUAUACGUGGAAGUACUUCACUUAAUACCUUUGUUUACGCAUCUUUAUGUCCAAUGCACAAACACCACCGGCAACGAAGCUCAGGAAAAAGACCUUCGACAAACAGCUGCUAAUGGUGAAGCACAGGGAUUCGGAAAGCACUGACUCCAGGCAUUGUGUGCUGCUGUUUACUUGACAAGCCAGUGCAGACACUGCUUCCUCUUCAGCUCUCUUCUGUUUUGCAGUCGGGAACACGCAACACUCUGCCAGCUUUGCUGCAUUCGCCUUUUCCUCAUCCUGUGUUUAACCUAUCGGGAUGUACAGCUUUUCUCCAGUCUUAAUUCCAAGAGAACAAAGCUCAAAAGUGUCUAAAAUUAGAAGUGUAAGCAAUCGUUGCUACAGAAAUAGGAGAGGAAAUAUCAGAGGAGCAAUGCCUCUCGACUCUGGUAACAAACACCAUGCUCUGGUCCCCUCACGUCAGCAAUAGUAUGGUAUGCUUCUAAAAACAUCACAUUUAAAAUAUAUGAAGUUACCAACAGAUUUAUAGAUUUCUUUUUUCCCAAGCAUGAAUAACUCAGACUAAAGGGCAGCUCUUUAUUUCUGAUCUCAAUUUUCCAAGCCACGUCAAAUGCAAAUGAUUGUUUACGCACCUCCUGGGCCAUCCUAUUGCUGUGCUGCUUUUUGCCUCUGAGAAGUAAUUCAUGUUUUUCUUCACAAGGACCAAAAGAAAACCUGCAAAGGCGGUUGGGGGCCAAAGAGAUGCAUGUGAGGCAGUGUCCCCCCCAGCAGCUGCACAUGACAAUCCUAUUGCACCAUGUUGGAGCGCAUUGCUCGGCUUGCCAGGAAGGGGAGAAGCAAAGAACACUCGGUACUACGUGCGGAGCCACCACAGAUCUGCUCUGCCUCUUACACCAGGCAUUGGCCUGAGGGAUGCAGGCAUUUGGGGAGGAUGCAAAACCUCAUGCAAAGUCUGCCUGAUUGCAUCUGCGCACUGAGUGCAGAUACCUUCGGGAGCGGCUGUUUGUGUUCACUCCAUGUUCUGUGUGCUACAACUGCGGGGCAUUUGGGACCUGUUCUUCCUGACCAUGGGGGCAGGACCUGCCUCCACCCCCAGCAGCUGCUGCAAAUAUAAUGAAGUAGCAACACACAGUAAGGCACAACUCAAGGGAGCAACCUCCCCCAAAAUACAACAACUUCUUACUUAAUUGCUAUUGUCUUCCUAGAUGCAACCAACAGGCACUAAGGAUUCUGGUUUCCUACUUCCCAAAACUUUGUAAUUAGCUUUGGAGUUGGAAGACGACCUACAAAGUGAGUGGGAAUGUGGUUUUAGGGAGGUGGAGAACAGCAGCGCGGAGGGGCCCAGCUGCAGCAUCUGCAUUCUCCCAGGCUCUCCCCCAGGACACGCACGUCCCAGGGUGACGUUUCCGCUGGCAGGGAGCAGCGGUGCCUUUUGGAGGGCAACACAUCAAUAGGAUCGCCCCGAUUCAAAACCAAAUCCAGUGGCAAGCGUUCCUAUCCCACAACACAGCUGCUCCCAUUCAUAAAGCCAGAGGACGGCUGCUGCAAGCGCCGCUAUGGGGCUGGGGCUGACACCGUGCCGAACCGGGCAGUCCCCUCGCGAGCCCACACAAGCAGCUCCUCCACCUCUCUCCUCCGACACCGGCCGAGCCAACCCAUAGCGUGUGCCCGGCGCCUGCGUGUCCCCGCUGUCCCCACGGCCGGGGGGGUGAGGGGGG